Non-coding RNA from Oryctolagus cuniculus (rabbit), 368 nucleotides. The record is from RefSeq and is a predicted model, not a curated record. Lineage: Eukaryota; Metazoa; Chordata; Mammalia; Lagomorpha; Leporidae.
CCCUGUACUGUGCACUCUGCAUACUGAGCCCUUCCUAGGAGUCAGGCCCUGUACUGUGCACUCUGCAUACUGAGCCCUUCCUAGGAAUCAGGCCCUGUACUGUGCACUCUGCAUACUGAGCCCUUCCUAGGAGUCAGGGCCUGUACUGUGCACUGUGCAUACCGAGCCCUUCCUAGGAGUCAGGUCCUGUACUGUGCACUCUGCAUACUGAGCCCUUCCUAGGAGUCAGGCCCUGUACUGUGCACUGUGAAUACUGAGCCCUUCCUAGGAGUCAGGCCCUGUACUGCUCACUGUGCAUACUGAGCCCUUCCUAGGAGUCAGGUCCUGUACUGUGCACUGUGCAUACUGAGCCCAUCCUAGGAGUCAGG